Molecule: transfer RNA, 72 nt
Filed under: Bos taurus (domestic cattle)
Lineage: Eukaryota; Metazoa; Chordata; Mammalia; Artiodactyla; Bovidae
Also listed under: 1 other name
Rfam family: tRNA
About the family: Transfer RNA (tRNA) molecules are approximately 80 nucleotides in length. Their secondary structure includes four short double-helical elements and three loops (D, anti-codon, and T loops).
Source: Rfam by way of RNAcentral
UCCCUGGUGGCUCAGAUGGUAAAGUAUCUGCCUGCAGUGUGGGAGACCUGGGUUCAAUCCCCAGGUUGGGAA